UUCAACUCAGUGGCGGACGGGUGAGUAACGCGUGAGUAACCUGCCUUUCAGAGGGGGAUAACGUUCUGAAAAGAACGCUAAUACCGCAUAAGAUUGUAGUUUCGCAUGGAGCAGCAAUCAAAGGAGCAAUCCGCUGAAAGAUGGACUCGCGUCCGAUUAGAUAGUUGGCGGGGUAACGGCCCACCAAGUCGACGAUCGGUAGCCGGACUGAGAGGUUGAUCGGCCACAUUGGGACUGAGACACGGCCCAGACUCCUACGGGAGGCAGCAGUGAGGGAUAUUGGGCAAUGGGGGAAACCCUGACCCAGCAACGCCGCGUGAGGGAUGACGGUUUUCGGAUUGUAAACCUCUGUCCUCUGUGAAGAUAGUGACGGUAGCAGAGGAGGAAGCUCCGGCUAACUACGUGCCAGCAGCCGCGGUAAUACGUAGGGAGCAAGCGUUGUCCGGAUUUACUGGGUGUAAAGGGUGCGUAGGCGGAUUGGCAAGUCAGAAGUGAAAUCCAUGGGCUUAACCCAUGAACUGCUUUUGAAACUGUUAGUCUUGAGUGAAGUAGAGGUAGGCGGAAUUCCCGGUGUAGCGGUGAAAUGCGUAGAGAUCGGGAGGAACACCAGUGGCGAAGGCGG
Molecule: ribosomal RNA, 622 nt
Filed under: uncultured Lachnospiraceae bacterium
Lineage: Bacteria; Bacillati; Bacillota; Clostridia; Lachnospirales; Lachnospiraceae
Description: bacterial SSU rRNA
Rfam family: Bacterial small subunit ribosomal RNA
Source: RNAcentral